AUCCAGCUGACGAGUCCCAAAUAGGACGAAAUGCGCGUUUUCCUGGAU
Trichobilharzia regenti is the source of this 48-nucleotide non-coding RNA. The record is from Rfam. NCBI's taxonomy places the organism in Eukaryota, Metazoa, Platyhelminthes, Trematoda, Strigeidida, Schistosomatidae.